RNAcentral lists this ribosomal RNA (253 nucleotides) under uncultured bacterium. RNAcentral describes it as "partial 16S ribosomal RNA". It matches the Rfam family "Bacterial small subunit ribosomal RNA", at positions 524 to 776 of the family's 1533-position model. The record is from RNAcentral.
UACGGGGGGGGCAAGCGUUGUUCGGAAUUACUGGGCGUAAAGGGCUUGUAGGUGGCCAACUAAGUCAGACGUGAAAUCCCUCGGCUUAACCGGGGAACUGCGUCUGAUACUGGAUGGCUAGAGUGUGGGAGAGGGAUGCGGAAUUCCAGGUGUAGCGGUGAAAUGCGUAGAUAUCAGGAGGAACACCUGCGGUGUAGACGGCUUUCUGGACCAUUGUUGACGCUGAGACACGAAAGCGUGGGUAGCAAACAGG